Molecule: ribosomal RNA, 1405 nt
Filed under: uncultured bacterium
Lineage: Bacteria
Description: 16S ribosomal RNA
Rfam family: Bacterial small subunit ribosomal RNA
Source: RNAcentral
GAGUUUGAUCAUGGCUCAGGACGAACGCUGGCGGCGUGCUUAACACAUGCAAGUCGAACGGAAAGGCCCCCACUUUUUUGGUGGGGGUGCUCGAGUGGUGAACGGGUGAGUAACACGUGGGUGAUCUGCCCUGUACUUCGGGAUAAGCUUGGGAGACUGGGUCUAAUACCGGAUAGGACCAUGGUUUAGUGUCUCAUGGCGGAAAAAUAUUGUUUUGGUGCAGGAUGAGCUCGCGGCCUAUCAGCUUGUUGGUGGGGUAAUGGCCUACCAAGGCGUCGACGGGUAGCCGGCCUGAGAGGGUGGACGGCCACAUUGGGACUGAGAUACGGCCCAGACUCCUACGGGAGGCAGCAGUGGGGAAUAUUGCACAAUGGGCGCAAGCCUGAUGCAGCGACGCCGCGUGGGGGAUGACGGCCUUCGGGUUGUAAACUCCUUUCGUUAGGGACGAAGCCGCACCUUUUUUUGGGUGUGGUGACGGUACCUUUGUUAAGAAGCACCGGCUAACUACGUGCCAGCAGCCGCGGUAAUACGUAGGGUGCGAGCGUUGUCCGGAAUUACUGGGCGUAAAGAGCUCGUAGGUGGUUUGUUGCGUCGUCUGUGAAAUUCCGGGGCUUAACUUCGGGGUGGCAGGCGAUACGGGCAUAACUAGAGUGCUGUAGGGGAGACUGGAAUUCCUGGUGUAGCGGUGGAAUGCGCAGAUAUCAGGAGGAACACCGAUGGCGAAGGCAGGUCUCUGGGCAGUAACUGACGCUGAGGAGCGAAAGCAUGGGGAGCGAACAGGAUUAGACACCCUGGUAGUCCAUGCUGUAAACGGUGGGCGUUAGGUGUGGGGACCGGUUUGGUUUCUGUGCCGUAGCUAACGCAUUAAGCGCCCCGCCUGGGGAGUACGGCCGCAAGGCUAAAACUCAAAGGAAUUGACGGGGGCCCGCACAAGCGGCGGAGCAUGUGGAUUAAUUCGAUGCAACGCGAAGAACCUUACCUGGGUUUGACAUGCACCAGACGGUUGUAGAGAUACGUACCUCCCUUUGUGGUUGGUGUGCAGGUGGUGCAUGGUUGUCGUCAGCUCGUGUCGUGAGAUGUUGGGUUAAGUCCCGCAACGAGCGCAACCCUUGUCUUAUGUUGCCAGCACUUUGGGUGGGGACUCAUGAGAGACUGCCGGGGUUAACUCGGAGGAAGGUGGGGAUGACGUCAAAUCAUCAUGCCCUUUAUGCCCAGGGCUUCACACAUGCUACAAUGGUUAGUACAACGCGCUGCGAACCUGUGAGGGUGAGCGAAUCGCUGAAAGCUAAUCUCAGUUCGGAUUGGGGUCUGCAACUCGACCCCAUGAAGUCGGAGUCGCUAGUAAUCGCAGAUCAGCAAUGCUGCGGUGAAAUACGUUCCCGGGCCUUGUACACACCGCCCGUCA